This 686-nucleotide long non-coding RNA is filed under the name Mytilus galloprovincialis (Mediterranean mussel). The record is from RNAcentral. Lineage: Eukaryota; Metazoa; Mollusca; Bivalvia; Mytilida; Mytilidae.
GCUGUAUGUCAUAAUGAACAUUUCCGAUACAAUGAUGUAAAAAAGGGACGAAAGAUACCAGAAGGAUAGUCAAACUCAUAAAUCUGAAUUAUUUUGUUUUAAAAUUUAAAUGUGGUUACCUUUUUUUUCUCCAACAAAAAUACACGUACUAUUCUCGAUAUAAUACGGUGAGAAAAUGUCGACAAGACAAAAUUAUGAUCGUAACGUCAGUGGCGGAUCCAGAAAUUUUCAAAAGAGUGGGCCCACUGGCUGACUAAGAGGGGGCCCGAUUUCGUCACGCCUCAGUGAUUCCCUAUAUAAGCAACCAAUUUUUUUUCUCAAAAAAGGGGGGCCGGGCCCCACUUUAAUCCGCCUCUGAACGACGUCACUUCAGUAUGUACUGUUGUAUUUACAUUAGCAUAUUUCAUUUCCAUAGAGAUUAUUGGAUCCCGAUACUCAUGUCAAAUCUUUGUUCAAGAUUUACAUUGAUAUUAUAUGGCCCUAAUUGCAAAGUCGUUGUUUAUUGGAUGUUGAAUAGUUUAAAUGAGAAAAAGAAAAAAAAGAUAUUCCUAACUAAUCAGUCGAAAACAAAAUGACAUCGCCAUUGCAAUUUUCUAAACACAACAAAAGAUACAAAACUCAACGUCUAAGCAACACGAACUGGAGUAGAACUCGAACUUGAGUAUAACUCGCGUGCUAAACGGGGG